Molecule: long non-coding RNA, 592 nt
Organism: Hemicordylus capensis (graceful crag lizard)
Lineage: Eukaryota; Metazoa; Chordata; Lepidosauria; Squamata; Cordylidae
Exons: 5
Source: RefSeq, a predicted model, not a curated record
GGAGGAUACAAGAGGAGGAGAAGUAUCUCACAGGGGCAACUUGGUUCUCCUCUUCCUAUCACAAGAUCGAUGGGAUAAUGAUGGCAAAGAAGCUAGGCUCCUUUUAAACAAAUAAAUGAGUGGUAAGGCUGCCAGGUGUACGCUGAUGACUUGCAGCAAUUCCUAUGGGGAGUUCCAAUAUUGUAAAAUAACGGAAAUGGUUUAUGACUGGGGUUGGAUUUGAACUUUCAGAUGACUCCAGUUGGAAUGUGUAUGUAGGCAACUGGAUGCCUCUGGGAAGUCCACAAGCAGGAGAUGAAGACCACUGCCCUUUCCACUGUUGCUUGCCAGACAGCACUGUUUCCCAAGUGUCAUGACAAAAGAAUUCAUCCCAGGAACUUUAGCCUGACUUAAUGAGUGGUCCCUCGACUUACGAAGUACUCGACAUCCGAAGAUUUCGACAUACGAACGACAAAAAAUACCGGAAGUCGUUGCCGGUUUAGAUGCGGCUUCCUCGACCUACGAAUUUUUAGAUGCGGUUUCCUCGACCUACGAAUGUUUCCGGACCUCCGUGGAUGCGCUUUUCAACUUACGAAAAUUCCGACCUACUAAC